This 392-nucleotide ribosomal RNA is filed under the name uncultured bacterium. RNAcentral describes it as "bacterial SSU rRNA". It matches the Rfam family "Bacterial small subunit ribosomal RNA", at positions 28 to 417 of the family's 1533-position model. The record is from RNAcentral.
GACGAACGCUGGCGGCGUGCUUAACACAUGCAAGUCGAGCGGUAAGGCCCUUUCGGGGGUACGACGAGCGGCGAACGGGUGAGUAACACGUGGGUGACCUGCCUUUAGCUCUGGGAUAAGCCUGGGAAACCGGGUCUAAUACCGGAUAUGACUCCGCGGCGCAUGUUGUGGGGUGGAAAGCCUUGUGCGGCUGGGGAUGGGCCCGCGGCCUAUCAGCUUGUUGGUGGGGUGAUGGCCUACCAAGGCGACGACGGGUAGCCGGCCUGAGAGGGCGACCGGCCACACUGGGACUGAGACACGGCCCAGACUCCUACGGGAGGGCAGCAGUGGGGGAAGUCUUGCGCAAUGGGCGAAAGCCUGACGCAGCGACGCCGCGUGAGGGAUGACGGCCU